Molecule: ribosomal RNA, 253 nt
Filed under: uncultured bacterium
Lineage: Bacteria
Description: partial 16S ribosomal RNA
Rfam family: Bacterial small subunit ribosomal RNA
Source: RNAcentral
UACAGGGGGUGCAAACGUUGCUCGGAAUCAUUGGGCGUAAAGCGCACGUAGGCGGUUCGUUAUGUCGGAUGUGAAAGCCCUUGGCUUAACCGAGGAAGUGCAUCCGAAACUGGCGAGCUAGAGUACUAAAGAGGAUCGCGGAAUUCCCGGUGUAGAGGUGAAAUGCGCAGAUAUCAGGAGGAACACCGGUGGCGAAGGCGGGUCUCUGGGCCAUUACUGACGCUGAGGAGCGAAAGCGUGGGGAGCGAACAGG